AGACCAGGGACGCGGCUAAAAGCUUGGUUUCAGCAGCGCACGCAGGUGGAAGGGUGUUGGGCACAUGGUCUAAAGGGCGGAAGGAAGAGUCAGAAUCGGCGUUGACAACAUGGGAUUAUGAGAGUCCGAAGUGCUCCGUGUUAUUUUUGAGAGAGAGAACAAGCAGGGAGAGCGGCAGGCAGAGGGAGAG
Leptonychotes weddellii (Weddell seal) is the source of this 190-nucleotide non-coding RNA. The record is from RefSeq and is a predicted model, not a curated record. NCBI's taxonomy places the organism in Eukaryota, Metazoa, Chordata, Mammalia, Carnivora, Phocidae.